Molecule: transfer RNA, 73 nt
Filed under: compost metagenome
Description: tRNA-Met
Rfam family: tRNA
About the family: Transfer RNA (tRNA) molecules are approximately 80 nucleotides in length.
Source: RNAcentral
CACAGAGUAGAGAAGUGGUUAUCUCGCAAGGCUCAUACCCUUGAAAUCGUGGGUUCGAAUCCCACCUCUGUAA